UGGCGGUGUGUACAAGGCCCACCAAGGCUAAGAUGGCUAGCGGGCGUGAGAGCACGACCCGCGCCACUGGCACUGAGACACUGGCCAGACACCUACGGGUGGCUGCAGUCGAGGAUCUUCGUCAAUGGGCGAAAGCCUGAACGAGCGACGCCGCGUGCGCGAUGAAGGCCUUCGGGUUGUAAAGCGCGAAAGUGGGGAAGAAAGCUGAAAGGUUUGACCGAUCCACAGUAAGCUCGGGCUAAGUUCGUGCCAGCAGCCGCGGUAAGACGAACCGAGCGAACGUUGUUCGGAAUCACUGGGCUUAAAGGGCGCGUAGGCGGGCAUCAAAGUCUAUGGUGAAAUCCGGCAGCUUAACUGUCGAACUGCCGUGGAUACUGGGUGUCUCGAGGGAGGUAGGGGCGCGCGGAACUAUUGGUGGAGCGGUGAAAUGCGUUGAUAUCAAUAGGAACUCCGGUGGCGGAGGCGGCGCGCUGGACCUCUUCUGACGCUGAGGCGCGAAAGCCAGGGGAGCAAACGGGAUUAGAUACCCCGGUAGUCCUGGCCCUAAACGUUGGGUACUAGAUAGUAGCCUUCACAUGGGGUUACUGUCGAAGCAAAAGUGCUAAGUACCCCGCCUGGGGAGUAUGGUCGCAAGGCUGAAACUCAAAGGAAUUGACGGGGGCUCACACAAGCGGUGGAGCAUGUGGCUUAAUUCGAGGCUACGCGAAGAACCUUAUCCUGGACUUGACAUUUGCGAAAGCGCUAGGUAGUAGGAGCCGGAAACGGUAACGAAUCCCGCAAGGGAGAGCCUAGUACAGGUGCUGCAUGGCUGUCGUCAGCUCGUGUCGUGAGAUGUCGGGUUAAGUCCCAUAACGAGCGAAACCCUUACCCUUAGUUGCUACUAUUAAGUUAGAGGACUCUAGGGGGACUGCCGGUGUCAAACCGGAGGAAGGCGGGGAUGACGUCAAGUCCUCAUGGCCUUUACGUCCAGGGCUGCACACGUGCUACAAUGGCGUGAACAAAGGGAAGCAAAAGCGCGAGCUCAAGCAAAUCCCAAAAAACACGCCCCAGUUCAGAUUGAAGGCUGCAACUCGCCUUCAUGAAGUUGGAAUCGCUAGUAAUCGCAGGUCAGCAACACUGCGGUGAAUGUGUUCCUGGGCCUUGUACACA
This 1149-nucleotide ribosomal RNA is filed under the name uncultured Planctomycetales bacterium. RNAcentral's name for it is "bacterial SSU rRNA". It matches the Rfam family "Bacterial small subunit ribosomal RNA", at positions 247 to 1389 of the family's 1533-position model. Lineage: Bacteria; Pseudomonadati; Planctomycetota; Planctomycetia; Planctomycetales. The record is from RNAcentral.